CCGCGGGACACGCCUCCCCAACGAGGCGCUGCUAUCUGAGAGGGUAGAUCAU
This is a non-coding RNA of Kaistia soli DSM 19436, 52 nucleotides long. NCBI's taxonomy places the organism in Bacteria, Pseudomonadati, Pseudomonadota, Alphaproteobacteria, Hyphomicrobiales, Kaistiaceae. The record is from Rfam.